CAGAGGGGGCAAGCGUUGUUCGGAAUUACUGGGCGUAAAGGGCGCGUAGGCGGCCUGCUAAGUCGAACGUGAAGUCCCUGGGCUCAACCCAGGAACUGCGUCCGAUACUGGUUGGCUUGAAUCCGGGAGAGGGAUGUGGAAUUCCAGGUGUAGCGGUGAAAUGCGUAGAUAUCUGGAGGAACACCGGUGGCGAAGGCGACAUCCUGGACCGGCAUUGACGCUGAGGCGCGAAAGCCAGGGGAGCAAACGGGAUUAGAUACCCCGGUAGUCCUGGCCCUAAACGAUGAAUGCUUGGUGUGGUGGGUAUCGAUCCCUACCGUGCCGAAGCUAACGCAUUAAGCAUUCCGCCUGGGGAGUACGGUCGCAAGGCUG
Molecule: ribosomal RNA, 372 nt
Filed under: uncultured organism
Description: bacterial SSU rRNA
Rfam family: Bacterial small subunit ribosomal RNA
Source: RNAcentral